CUACGGGCCGCUCCAGUGGGGAAUAUUGCACAAUGGGGGAAACCCUGAUGCAGCAACGCCGCGUGGAGGAUGACGCAUUUCGGUGUGUAAACUCCUUUUAUAUCCCAAGAUAAUGACGGUAGGAUAUGAAUAAGCACCGGCUAACUCCGUGCCAGCAGCCGCGGUAAUACGGAGGGCGCAAGCGUUACUCGGAAUCACUGGGCGUAAAGGGCGCGUAGGCGGGUUGUCAAGUCUUGAGUGAAAUCCAACGGCUCAACCGUUGAACUGCUUGAGAAACUGGCAGCCUAGAGUGAGGGAGAGGUAGAUGGAAUUGGUGGUGUAGGGGUAAAAUCCGUAGAGAUCACCAGGAAUACCCAUUGCGAAGGCGAUCUGCUGGAACUCUACUGACGCUGAGGCGCGAAAGCGUGGGGAGCAAACAGGAUUAGAUACCCUCGUAGUC
RNAcentral lists this ribosomal RNA (439 nucleotides) under uncultured bacterium. RNAcentral describes it as "partial 16S ribosomal RNA". It matches the Rfam family "Bacterial small subunit ribosomal RNA", at positions 339 to 795 of the family's 1533-position model. The record is from RNAcentral.